Molecule: ribosomal RNA, 1411 nt
Filed under: Streptomyces sp. SE2
Lineage: Bacteria; Bacillati; Actinomycetota; Actinomycetes; Kitasatosporales; Streptomycetaceae
Description: bacterial SSU rRNA
Rfam family: Bacterial small subunit ribosomal RNA
Source: RNAcentral
GCUGGCGGCGUGCUUAACACAUGCAAGUCGAACGAUGAAGCCGCUUCGGUGGUGGAUUAGUGGCGAACGGGUGAGUAACACGUGGGCAAUCUGCCCUUCACUCUGGGACAAGCCCUGGAAACGGGGUCUAAUACCGGAUAACACUCUGUCCCGCAUGGGACGGGGUUGAAAGCUCCGGCGGUGAAGGAUGAGCCCGCGGCCUAUCAGCUUGUUGGUGGGGUAAUGGCCUACCAAGGCGACGACGGGUAGCCGGCCUGAGAGGGCGACCGGCCACACUGGGACUGAGACACGGCCCAGACUCCUACGGGAGGCAGCAGUGGGGAAUAUUGCACAAUGGGCGAAAGCCUGAUGCAGCGACGCCGCGUGAGGGAUGACGGCCUUCGGGUUGUAAACCUCUUUCAGCAGGGAAGAAGCGAAAGUGACGGUACCUGCAGAAGAAGCGCCGGCUAACUACGUGCCAGCAGCCGCGGUAAUACGUAGGGCGCAAGCGUUGUCCGGAAUUAUUGGGCGUAAAGAGCUCGUAGGCGGCUUGUCACGUCGGAUGUGAAAGCCCGGGGCUUAACCCCGGGUCUGCAUUCGAUACGGGCUAGCUAGAGUGUGGUAGGGGAGAUCGGAAUUCCUGGUGUAGCGGUGAAAUGCGCAGAUAUCAGGAGGAACACCGGUGGGGAAGGCGGAUCUCUGGGCCAUUACUGACGCUGAGGAGCGAAAGCGUGGGGAGCGAACAGGAUUAGAUACCCUGGUAGUCCAAGCCGUAAACGUUGGGAACUANGUGUUGGCGACAUUCCACGUCGUCGGUGCCGCAGCUAACGCAUUAAGUUCCCCGUCCUGGGGAGUACGGCCGCNAGGCUAAAACUCAAAGGAAUUGACGGGGGCCCGCACAAGCAGCGGAGCAUGUGGCUUANUUCGACGCNACGCGAAGAACCUUNCCAAGGCUGACAUAUACCGGAAAGCAUCACAGAUGGUGCCCCCCUUGUGGUCGGUAUACAGGGUGGUGCAUGGCUGUUCGUCAGCUCGUGUCGUGAGAUGUUGGGUUAAGUCCCGCAAAGAGCGCAACCGUGUUCUGUGUUGCCAGCAUGCCCUUCGGGGUGAUGGGGACUCACACGAGACUGUCNGGGUCAACUCGGAGGAAGGUGGGGACGACGUCAAGUUCAUCAUGCCCCUUAUGUCUUGGGCUGCACACGNGCUACAAUGGCCGGUACAAUGAGNNGGGAUGCCGCGAGGCGGAGCGAAUCUCAAAAAGCCGGUCUCAGUUCGGAUUGGGGUCUGCAACUGACCCCAUGAAGUCGGAGUUGCUAGUAAUCGCAGAUCAGCAUUGCUGCGGUGAAUACGUNCCCGGGCCUNGUACACACCACCCGUCACGUCACGAAAGUCGGUAACACCCUAAGCCGGUGNCCCAACCCCUUNUGGGAGG